CUCAUAGUUUAGGGGUGUAUAUAUACAUUGAUGUACAAAAAGACUUGUAGAGUUGAUUGAUUGCUGAUCCUGAGAACAGACAAUGAAUCGGAAACCCAGCACUUUGCACUUGCUUUCUGUGUCAGUCUCCACUUUACAUGUGGCAGACUUAGUAGCAUUCAUUUGAACCCACUCCCCUUAUUAAACUUGCAACAUGAAACGUCAAAAGUUUUUGUUUGAAUUGGAAAAGCUGAAAGAAGCAAGAGUAUCAAACGAGAAACAAAAUUUGUGUCUACGACUGAUUGUAACGAGUUGAGGGAUAGAGCACUCUGACGAGCUAGAGAAAAUUCAUUAUUUCGAGAGCCGACUCUCGAGUCCUGUCCUUCGUCUGUUGAGUUCCUGAGAAAAUCACGAUAGUACAGGCAUAAGAACAACGAAAUUAAUGCGUAUUUUAAACAUGGGAACAUUUGCAACCUAAAUAGUAUUUCAUGAAUGGAACGCAAAGAAUCCGCCUUUACUUAAAAAAAUAGACAAUGAUGUGUUACUCAUUGAGACUCUACGACCGCAAAAACUCUAAUUAUAAAAAGGUCAGUCAAACAUCUCUUCAUUUGCUUCACAAUCAUUGGAUCCUUUUUAACACUAGUUUAAAUUACAAAAAGAAAAAAUAAAGAACUUAUGUCCUUGUCCACUUGGGUGAGAAUCAAAUUACUUUUUCUCUUGGAAAACAUGCGCCUACAUGUGUUGAACGAUUUUCACACACCUGGCAGACGCUCACAUAACAGAGCACAGUGAGAAUACAAAUACGAGGGAGAAUAUCAGCUUUACCCCAAGGUCCUUCUGGUCGUUUGCACGUCAAUUCCACCUCUCAACAUGGCUCCACUUGAUGCUGACUAAACACGCCAACCCAUGUGAUAAGCCUAGCGACAAUUAGCAAGACAAGUUUACAAUUCUGCAACAGCCAAUUGCUGGAAUAUGAGGUUACCUAUCCACUAACAGAAGGCAUCUUAUGAUUCCAAAAGUAUUUGUUUAUUUGUCUGUUUUUCUCGAACGUGAUAGCCAGCGUCAAUCACCUUCAAGGAAGAAGUAAAAGCAGUUUAAAUGUUAGUCUUCACUAAGAAUGUGAAACCAGCAGCCAUCCUACCGGCAAUUCAAGUUGAAACCUAAAGAUACACAAUCAAAUUCGAGGGCACCUAAAGCUACAAUGUAUAGAAUCCUACAACCUAUGAGUCACCAGAUGGCUAAUUCGUGACGUAGACCCGUAACUCCAAUCCCUCCACUCGCUCUUCUUGAUACCCUCGUCAGGAACCCAUAGGACACUUUAGAUACACCAAGACAAUACAACACACCAGUGAUCGCUGUUGUCAUUGUGAACUAAUGUCUAUCUAUAAUCUCACAACAAAGUAAGCUCUAAGUACAGAGAAGCAUUCUCAUGAACAUGAACAGUGUUAGCACGGUCACGAUCUGGAGAAACCGCAAAGUAUUAAAAAACCCAUUAGCUGCAAGAAACAAAAGUUCUGCAAGUAGGGAUUUUAAAACAAACUGCCAAACCCUCAACUACGUGCAUUGGUUGUUGGUAGCUAUUCUUAAAGUCGACUGCA
RNAcentral lists this long non-coding RNA (1577 nucleotides) under Physcomitrium patens. RNAcentral describes it as "long non-coding RNA (PPAT_LNC005804)". The record is from RNAcentral. Lineage: Eukaryota; Viridiplantae; Streptophyta; Bryopsida; Funariales; Funariaceae.